Molecule: long non-coding RNA, 2059 nt
Filed under: Nicotiana benthamiana
Lineage: Eukaryota; Viridiplantae; Streptophyta; Magnoliopsida; Solanales; Solanaceae
Description: long non-coding RNA (NBEN_LNC016350)
Source: RNAcentral
ACAAUAUUGAGAAUUAGAGUUGGGUCAUAUGAAAUGCACACCCAAUUUUGAAAAAUUAAUUUUAAAAUAACGCACCUAAAAUAACUACGCGGUAUCAAGUUAAUGACAAAAUUUACGAGGGUCAUAGAAAAUUCAACUAAUGACACACCUCAAUUUCUAAAGUGUCAAAAUUAAUUAAGUGAGAACCAUAAAUUUUGAAAUUUUAUUUGGCAUGACACUCUUUAAUUUAUUACAUGCUAAAGUGAUAUCUAUCUCUGUCCAAAUUAAUUCAACUACUUAAGUUAAAUUGCACAACCAAUCAAGACAUAAUGGACAAAAUAAAUUGACAAAGAUCCAAAUAGCGAAGCCGCAAAAGUACAACAACAACAACAACUACCCAGUAUGCUCCCAUCAGGUGGGGUCUGGGAAGGAUAAUAUGUAGACGAGUCUUACCCCUGCCCGAAAGGGCAGUGAGGCUGCUUCCAAUCGACCCUCGGCGAAUAUAAUACAAAUGGGAAAGCUGCAUUAAGAAACAGAGGUAAAAUUAGAAACACAAGCAAGACAAAACCAAAUAAUAAAGCAUAGGUACUCCCACAAAAGUAACGUAAAUAAUUAUGAAAACAUAAGCAACAUAAAUACAGUCGCAUGCAAUAAUAAUAAGCAGUAACUACCAUACUAAAACACUAAUCACCUAUGAACCCUAACCUACAAUCCUGAUUCUAGACCUCCAGACUCCCCUAUCAAGGGUCAUAUCCUCGGUAACCUGCAUUUUUCUUUUUUCUUUUUUUCUUUUACUGCUUAUAUUUUCUUUUAUUCACUGUUUAUUUAACAUUACCUUUUAUUUUAUUUUUAUUUUAUUUUUCUUUUCUUCUUCUAUGUCACAUUGCAACAACUAGCCAUCUUCUUUCUCAUCUUCACCAUUGCAAAUUGCUUAUACUCAAUUUUUUUCCAUCAUCGGGGCCCCUCCUCCGAACAUGCCCGAACCACCUCAGCCGCAAAAGUAAUUAUCCAAAAAAAUAAGUAUUCAAACCAUUGCGGGAAAAAAAUAAACAACUAGACAAAUAACGUGACAGAAUAUAAAUAAGUAAAAAGAGCACACCUGAACCUAGGAAGGGCCAUUACAGGAUUAUAUUAUUACCUGGUUCCCUUAACCUAUUAAUGUGUCAUAUUUUAAAAUCAAGCAAAAUAAUUAAACACAUGACUUGGCGGAUUUACCCAUCUCAUAUUCCCCAAAUUUCACAACCCAACUCUUUAUACCCAAAUCACUGAAUUAACGAAUAGUACUAGUAAUUAUGCCAUGUUUUAAUUAACAAAAAAAAAUAAAACAAAAGCUACUGUGAAAACCAGUAACAUCGAGAAAGUUCAAGAAAAGCCCUAUGCCAAAAGCAACUGAGAUGCCUUGAUAUCCCAAGCUGAAAUGGAAAUAGAUUCCCAAGCUAAACACAUAUCACUCAACAAAUGCUGAAGUAAACACAUGGAUACAGAUUCCACAAUAUUGACGCUAGAAAAUAGUUAUAUUGUUUUAGACUGAAAAUCAUACUUCGACAGCAAAAAUAUAGCUCAAAAUUAUCCAAAUGAAGCUGAAAUGGAAGGCUAAAGACUGAAAUGUUCAACAGGAUAUUUAGCAGCAGCUAAAACAGUGAUUUCCUAAGCCCAUGGGCAAAUUUGAACAAAACUCAGCCAAAAUUGCAGCAAUCGACAGCAGCAAUAAAUCACAAUCAUCCCCAAAUCAAAGAAGAGAAGGGAUCGAAGAAGCAAUGAACAAUUCCAACGCACUGAUUAACCGUAGUAGGGCGUCAUUCGCUGGAAACUCCCUUCAUUCACCGGAGCAGGUAGUCACCGGAUUUGCAAGGUCAAAAAUUGAGAGAGAUUUCAUGGGUUCCAAACUUGAAGAAAGAGGUGUCUCUAUUGCUUUGUGAGUGUGAAUCGUGAAUCAGGUGAGAGAUGAGAGUCACUGGUAUUUGCUGUAGAUCAGAGGUGCAAGAAGAUUGAUCCAGGCCCGUUGCUCUCUGGUUUUUUGAGGGAGAUGAAGAAGGAAUCCGAAGAAAGGGGAAAAAGGGAAAGCGGCGCUGGGUUCUGA